This 82-nucleotide transfer RNA is filed under the name Deltaproteobacteria bacterium. RNAcentral describes it as "tRNA-Leu". It matches the Rfam family "tRNA". From Rfam's summary of the family: Transfer RNA (tRNA) molecules are approximately 80 nucleotides in length. Lineage: Bacteria; Pseudomonadati; Myxococcota; Myxococcia. The record is from RNAcentral.
GCGAGGAUGGCGGAACUGGCAGACGCGCUGGAUUUAGGUUCCAGUACCAGAAGGUGUGGGGGUUCGAAUCCCCCUCCUCGCA